AGAGUUUGAUCCUGGCUCAGAACGAACGCUGGCGGCGUGCUUAACACAUGCAAGUCGUACGAGAAAUUCUCCGCAAGGUGAAUAGUAAAGUGGCGAACGGGUGAGUAAUAUAUGGGUAGCCUACCUUUUAGAGGGGAACAACUUUGCGAAAGCGAAGCUAAAACCCCAUAAAACCAUGGUUUCUUAGGAAACUGCGGUAAAAAGUGGCCUCUACAUGUAAGCUACUGCUAAAAGAUGGGCUCAUAUCCUAUCAGCUAGUUGGUGGAGUAAUGGUUUACCAAGGCUAAGACGGGUAGCUGAUCUGAGAGGAUGAUCAGCCACACUGGAACUGAGAUACGGUCCAGACUCCUACGGGAGGCAGCAGUGGGGAAUCUUGCGCAAUGGGCGAAAGCCUGACGCAGCAACGCCGUGUGAGUGAAGAAGACUUUCGGGUUGUAAAGCUCUGUCGGAUGGGAUGAAGUCUCAAAUCUGAUAAUACCAGAAGUGGGAUGACUGUACCGUCAAAGGAAGCACCGGCCAACUCCGUGCCAGCAGCCGCGGUAAAACGGGGGGUGCAAGCGUUGUUCGGAAUCAUUGGGUGUAAAGGGCGCGUAGGUGGAUAAAAAAGUCUAAUGUGAGAUCCCUCAGCUCAACUGAGGAAGGGCAUUAGAUACUUUUUGUCUAGAGUACGGGAGAGGGAAGCGGAAUUCCCGGUGUAGAGGUGAAAUUCGUAGAUAUCGGGAGGAACACCAGUAGCGAAGGCGGCUUCCUGGAACGAUACUGACACUGAGGCGCGAAAGCGUGGGGAGCAAACAGGAUUAGAUACCCUGGUAGUCC
This 816-nucleotide ribosomal RNA is filed under the name uncultured bacterium. RNAcentral describes it as "bacterial SSU rRNA". It matches the Rfam family "Bacterial small subunit ribosomal RNA", at positions 8 to 796 of the family's 1533-position model. The record is from RNAcentral.